RNAcentral lists this microRNA (22 nucleotides) under Cordylochernes scorpioides. Lineage: Eukaryota; Metazoa; Arthropoda; Arachnida; Pseudoscorpiones; Chernetidae. The record is from RNAcentral.
AAGCUGCCCUUUGAAGGGCUGU